CAUGCAGGCGGUUACAUAAGUCAGGUGUGAAAUCCCCGCGCUUAACGUGGGCAUUGCAUUUGAAACUAUGUAGCUAGAGUUCUGUAGAGGGGGGUAGAAUUCCAGGUGUAGCGGUGAAAUGCGUAGAUAUUGGGAAGAACACCGGUGGCGAAGGCGGCAACCUGGCUCAUUACUGACGCUGAGGCGCGAAAGCGUGGGGAGCAAACAGGAUUAGAUACCCCUGUA
Molecule: ribosomal RNA, 225 nt
Filed under: uncultured Thorsellia sp.
Lineage: Bacteria; Pseudomonadati; Pseudomonadota; Gammaproteobacteria; Enterobacterales; Thorselliaceae
Description: partial 16S ribosomal RNA
Rfam family: Bacterial small subunit ribosomal RNA
Source: RNAcentral